This 24-nucleotide non-coding RNA is filed under the name Cricetulus griseus (Chinese hamster). Lineage: Eukaryota; Metazoa; Chordata; Mammalia; Rodentia; Cricetidae. The record is from RNAcentral.
CAGACCUGUUUUUAUUUGCUCAGA